AUUGAACGCUGGCGGAAUGCUUUACACAUGCAAGUCGAACGGCAGCACGGGGCAACCUGGUGGCGAGUGGCGAACGGGUGAGUAAUACAUCGGAACGUGCCCAAUCGUGGGGGAUAACGUAGCGAAAGUUACGCUAAUACCGCAUACGAUCUACGGAUGAAAGCGGGGGAUCGCAAGACCUCGCGCGAAUGGAGCGGCCGAUGUCAGAUUAGGUAGUUGGUGGGGUAAAAGGCUCACCAAGCCAACGAUCUGUAGCUGGUCUGAGAGGACGACCAGCCACACUGGAACUGAGACACGGUCCAGACUCCUACGGGAGGCAGCAGUGGGGAAUUUUGGACAAUGGGCGCAAGCCUGAUCCAGCCAUUCCGCGUGCAGGAUGAAGGCCUCGGUGUAACUAG
This 398-nucleotide ribosomal RNA is filed under the name uncultured bacterium. Its description in RNAcentral is "bacterial SSU rRNA". It matches the Rfam family "Bacterial small subunit ribosomal RNA", at positions 30 to 432 of the family's 1533-position model. The record is from RNAcentral.